GUGUUCGGUCGCUGGAUGCGGCGGUUCCCGCCCGGACUGUGUGAGAGUCCAUUGCCUUUAUCAUUAGAGGAAGGAGACGUCGUAACAAGGUUUCCGUAGGUGAACCUGCGGAAGGAUCAUUG
RNAcentral lists this ribosomal RNA (122 nucleotides) under Stelis papaquerensis. RNAcentral describes it as "partial 18S small subunit ribosomal RNA". It matches the Rfam family "Eukaryotic small subunit ribosomal RNA", at positions 1707 to 1831 of the family's 1831-position model. The record is from RNAcentral. Lineage: Eukaryota; Viridiplantae; Streptophyta; Magnoliopsida; Asparagales; Orchidaceae.